UACGUAGGGUGCGAGCGUUGUCCGGAAUUAUUGGGCGUAAAGAGCUCGUAGGCGGUUUGUCGCGUCUGCUGUGAAAACUCGGGGCUUAACUCCGGGCCUGCAGUGGGUACGGGCAGACUAGAGUGCGGUAGGGGAGACUGGAAUUCCUGGUGUAGCGGUGAAAUGCGCAGAUAUCAGGAGGAACACCGGUGGCGAAGGCGGGUCUCUGGGCCGUAACUGACGCUGAGGCAUGAAAGCGUGGGGAGCAAACAGG
This 253-nucleotide ribosomal RNA is filed under the name uncultured bacterium. RNAcentral describes it as "partial 16S ribosomal RNA". It matches the Rfam family "Bacterial small subunit ribosomal RNA", at positions 524 to 776 of the family's 1533-position model. The record is from RNAcentral.